This 638-nucleotide ribosomal RNA is filed under the name uncultured bacterium. Its description in RNAcentral is "bacterial SSU rRNA". It matches the Rfam family "Bacterial small subunit ribosomal RNA", at positions 607 to 1244 of the family's 1533-position model. The record is from RNAcentral.
GCUCAACCGGGGAGGGUCAUUGGAAACUGGGGAACUUGAGUGCAGAAGAGGAGAGUGGAAUUCCACGUGUAGCGGUGAAAUGCGUAGAGAUGUGGAGGAACACCAGUGGCGAAGGCGACUCUCUGGUCUGUAACUGACGCUGAGGCGCGAAAGCGUGGGGAGCGAACAGGAUUAGAUACCCUGGUAGUCCACGCCGUAAACGAUGAGUGCUAAGUGUUAGAGGGUUUCCGCCCUUUAGUGCUGCAGCAAACGCAUUAAGCACUCCGCCUGGGGAGUACGGUCGCAAGACUGAAACUCAAAGGAAUUGACGGGGGCCCGCACAAGCGGUGGAGCAUGUGGUUUAAUUCGAAGCAACGCGAAGAACCUUACCAGGUCUUGACAUCCUCUGACAACCCUAGAGAUAGGGCUUCCCCUUCGGGGGGCAGAGUGACAGGUGGUGCAUGGUUGUCGUCAGCUCGUGUCGUGAGAUGUUGGGUUAAGUCCCGCAACGAGCGCAACCCUUGAUCUUAGUUGCCAGCAUUCAGUUGGGCACUCUAAGGUGACUGCCGGUGACAAACCGGAGGAAGGUGGGGAUGACGUCAAAUCAUCAUGCCCCUUAUGACCUGGGCUACACACGUGCUACAAUGGGCAGAACAAAG